This 502-nucleotide ribosomal RNA is filed under the name uncultured bacterium. RNAcentral's name for it is "bacterial SSU rRNA". It matches the Rfam family "Bacterial small subunit ribosomal RNA", at positions 29 to 518 of the family's 1533-position model. The record is from RNAcentral.
ACGAACGCUGGCGGCGUGCCUAACACAUGCAAGUCGAGCGGGACAUGCGACGGAGACGAAGUACUCGUACGGAGUCAAAGAUGUAAUGUCUAGCGGCGGACGGGUGAGUAACGCGUGAGCAACCUGUCCCUUACAGGGGGAUAACACAGCGAAAGUUGUACUAAUACCGCAUAAGACCACAGGAUGACAUCGUCCAGGGGUCAAAGGAGCAAUCCGGUAAGGGGUGGGCUCGCGUCCGAUUAGAUAGUUGGUGAGGUAACGGCCCACCAAGUCGACGAUCGGUAGCCGACCUGAGAGGGUGAUCGGCCACAUUGGGACUGAGACACGGCCCAAACUCCUACGGGAGGCAGCAGUGGGGAAUAUUGGGCAAUGGGGGGAAACCCUGACCCAGCAACGCCGCGUGAGGGAAGAAGGUUUUCGGAUCGUAAACCUCUGUCCCAGGUGAAGAGGAAGAGACGGUAGCCUGGGAGGAAGCCCCGGCUAACUACGUGCCAGCCGCCGC